RNAcentral lists this small nucleolar RNA (85 nucleotides) under Ficedula albicollis (Collared flycatcher). The record is from RNAcentral. Lineage: Eukaryota; Metazoa; Chordata; Aves; Passeriformes; Muscicapidae.
CUGGUUUACAUGAUGAGUAAAACAAAAAAUCACCAUCUUUCGGCUGAUAGCUGUGAUGAUUUGUUUUUAUCUGAGUAGAUACCAG